This 461-nucleotide ribosomal RNA is filed under the name uncultured bacterium. RNAcentral's name for it is "bacterial SSU rRNA". It matches the Rfam family "Bacterial small subunit ribosomal RNA", at positions 377 to 840 of the family's 1533-position model. The record is from RNAcentral.
GAAAGCCUGACGGAGCAAGACCGCGUGGGGGAAGAAGGCUCUUGGGUUGUAAACCCCUUUUCUCUGGGAAGAAAGUUGUGAAAGCAACCUGACGGUACCAGAGGAAUCAGCAUCGGCUAACUCCGUGCCAGCAGCCGCGGUAAGACGGAGGAUGCAAGCGUUAUCCGGAAUGAUUGGGCGUAAAGCGUCCGCAGGUGGCAGUUCAAGUCUGCUGUCAAAGACCGGGGCUUAACUUCGGAAAGGCAGUGGAAACUGAACAGCUAGAGUAUGGUAGGGGCAGAGGGAAUUCCUGGUGUAGCGGUGAAAUGCGUAGAGAUCAGGAAGAACAUCGGUGGCGAAGGCGCUCUGCUGGRCCAUAACUGACACUCAGGGACGAAAGCUAGGGGAGCGAAUGGGAUUAGAUACCCCAGUAGUCCUAGCCGUAAACGAUGGAUACUAGGUGUUGUCUGUAUCGACCCGGA